This is a non-coding RNA of Microcebus murinus (gray mouse lemur), 976 nucleotides long. The record is from RefSeq and is a predicted model, not a curated record. Lineage: Eukaryota; Metazoa; Chordata; Mammalia; Primates; Cheirogaleidae.
UGUGUGCGGCCCACAGCCCGGAAGCGGGGCGCCGGUGGGGGCCGGGCGGCGCGGCGGCCCCUCUCCGAGCCCAUUGUUUGCGGGGCGCACGGCCACACGCGCUCGACGAGAAGUCUGCACAUCCUGCCGCCGCUCUUGCCCGGCGACCGCCAGACAAACAGCGGUCCCUCCGCUCGCGGAGGAGGAGCGCUCUUAAUGCGAUGCCCGGGCCCAGAGUGACACCCGGAGCCUUUCGGGGAAGGCCCCUCUCUUUGUUUCAGCCCUGGCCUUGAUGUGUAUCGUUUAUGAUUCUCGCGCUACCAGGACAGUUGGUUUGUCAUCUGUAGAGCAAUGGAAUGGCAGUCCAUCUAAUUCGACCUGCAAUUCUCAGUUCAUUUAACUAGGUCAGCGGCUGGUAUGCUGGAGAUUGUGUCCCCAGCAAUUCCUGACUUCUCUGCUGAUUUGGGUCUAGAAAGUUGGAAAAAAUUCCAAAGAGGAUAAGAUCCCCUGUUGGCCCCAUAAAUCUCUUGAGAUGUCUCCGAGGCCACACCAACCUCCUGCCUGGACUCUACAUGCAUUCACCUCUAUCCCAGACAAGUGAGAGAAAAGGACAGAGCCUGGAGAAUGUCUUAAUUCUCUCAAUUCUUCCUUUGACUACACAAGCAACAGCUGUCUAGUUGCCUGCACAGGACUGGAUCUAAUGCCUCUACAGAAAUCUAGGUCAAAACACUUGGAAUGCAUGAAUAUCAAACAGAGUUUUCAAAACAGCAAAUGAAUACAUCUUUAACUGGUGACAUUUUCCUGUAGCAUAUGGCUGCAAGCUCAGGGGACUGGAUGCUUUUUGAUGAAUAUGUUCCAUCAAAAACUAAGGGAUGGCAGUAGUCUUUUGCCACCUUCUGUUUUGCCUUAUGAAAUGAUAAUGCAAACUCAUAGAUAGAUACAAUGAUCACAAGGCUUUUACCUUCAGACCUAUCCUAAAGAUGCAUUUUCUUUUUUG